CACUCCUACGGGAGGCAGCAGUAGGGAAUCUUCGGCAAUGGGGGCAACCCUGACCGAGCAACGCCGCGUGAGUAAGAAGGUUUUCGGAUCGUAAAGCUCUGUUGUAAGUCAAGAACGAGUGUGAGAGUGGAAAGUUCACACUGUGACGGUAGCUUACCAGAAAGGGACGGCUAACUACGUGCCAGCAGCCGCGGUAAUACGUAGGUCCCGAGCGUUGUCCGGAUUUAUUGGGCGUAAAGCGAGCGCAGGCGGUUUGAUAAGUCUGAAGUUAAAGGCUGUGGCUCAACCAUAGUUCGCUUUGGAAACUGUCAAACUUGAGUGCAGAAGGGGAGAGUGGAAUUCCAUGUGUAGCGGUGAAAUGCGUAGAUAUAUGGAGGAACACCGGUGGCGAAAGCGGCUCUCUGGUCUGUAACUGACGCUGAGGCUCGAAAGCGUGGGGAGCGAACAGGAUUAGAAACCUUUGUAGUCCCA
Molecule: ribosomal RNA, 471 nt
Filed under: uncultured organism
Description: partial 16S ribosomal RNA
Rfam family: Bacterial small subunit ribosomal RNA
Source: RNAcentral